GACGAACGCUGCCGGCGUGCUUAACACAUGCAAGUCGAACGAAAAGACGGAAAGAGCUUGCUCUUUUCAGAAUUGAGUGGCAAACGGGUGAGUAACACGUAACAACCUGCCUUCAGGAUGGGGACAACAGACGGAAACGACUGCUAAUACCGAAUAAGUUCCAAGAGCCGCAUGGCCCAUGGAAGAAAAGGUGGCCUCUACCUGUAAGCUAUCGCCUGAAGAGGGGUUUGCGUCUGAUUAGCUGGUUGGAGGGGUAACGGCCCACCAAGGCGACGAUCAGUAGCCGGUCUGAGAGGAUGAACGGCCACACUGGAACUGAGACACGGUCCAGACUCCUACGGGAGGCAGCAGUGGGGAAUCUUCCGCAAUGGGCGAAAGCCUGACGGAGCAACGCCGCGUGAGUGAUGACGGCCUUCGGGUUGUAAAACUCUGUGAUCCGGGACGAAAAGGCAGAGUGCAAAGAACAAACUGCAUUGACGGUACCGGAAAAGCAAGCCACGGCUAA
RNAcentral lists this ribosomal RNA (505 nucleotides) under Dialister invisus. RNAcentral's name for it is "bacterial SSU rRNA". It matches the Rfam family "Bacterial small subunit ribosomal RNA", at positions 28 to 500 of the family's 1533-position model. The record is from RNAcentral. Lineage: Bacteria; Bacillati; Bacillota; Negativicutes; Veillonellales; Veillonellaceae.